This 554-nucleotide ribosomal RNA is filed under the name Rhodotorula diobovata. RNAcentral's name for it is "eukaryotic LSU rRNA". It matches the Rfam family "Eukaryotic large subunit ribosomal RNA", at positions 83 to 649 of the family's 3401-position model. The record is from RNAcentral. Lineage: Eukaryota; Fungi; Basidiomycota; Microbotryomycetes; Sporidiobolales; Sporidiobolaceae.
GUAGCGGCGAGCGAAGCGGGAAGAGCUCAAAUUUAUAAUCUGGCACCUUCGGUGUCCGAGUUGUAAUCUCUAGAAGUGUUUUCCGCGUUGGACCGCACACAAGUCUGUUGGAAUACAGCGGCAUAGUGGUGAAACCCCCGUAUAUGGUGCGGACGCCCAGCGCUUUGUGAUACACUUUCAAUGAGUCGAGUUGUUUGGGAAUGCAGCUCAAAUUGGGUGGUAAAUUCCAUCUAAAGCUAAAUAUUGGCGAGAGACCGAUAGCGAACAAGUACCGUGAGGGAAAGAUGAAAAGCACUUUGGAAAGAGAGUUAACAGUACGUGAAAUUGUUGGAAGGGAAACGCUUGAAGUCAGACUUGCUUGCCGGAGCUUGCUUCGGUUUGCAGGCCAGCAUCAGUUUUCCGGGGUGGAUAAUGACGGUUUGAAGGUAGCAGUCUCGGCUGUGUUAUAGCUUUCCGUUGGAUACGCCCUGGGGGACUGAGGAACGCAGCGUGCUUUUUGCGAAAGACUCGUCUUUUUCACGCUUAGGAUGCUGGUGGAAUGGCUUUAAACGACC